GUAUUUUUGUAUUAAACAUCAGCUGACGAGCACUGUUGCAAUCUGUAACAUCUUUAAAGUUUAUUUUCAGAUGCUGCAUCAAUGGGAAGAGAAAAUCAAACAGCGGUGACAGAAUUUAUCUUCGCUGGAUUUUCCAAUUUCCCAGACCUGCAGGUUCCAUUGUUUUUUGUGUUCUCUCUAAUCUACCUGGUAACUUUGAUCGCAAAUAUAAUCAUCAUCACUACGAUACGGAUUGAUCGCAGCCUCCACAUCCCCAUGUACUUCUUCCUCUCCAUCCUCUCCUUCUCAGAAAUCUGCUACUCACUUGUCAUUAUCCCCAAUAUGUUUGCAAAUUUUCUGAGAGAGAAGAAGACCAUUUCCUUCAUUGGCUGUGCCACUCAGAUGUGCAUUUUCCUGGGCUUUGCAUGUACAAAUUGUAUGCUUCUAGCAGUGAUGGGGUAUGACCGAUAUGUCUCCAUAUGCAAACCUUUACGUUAUCAGAUUUUGAUGAAUCAAAGUCUCUGCAUCAAACUGGUGGCUUGUUCAGCAACAACUGGAUUUCUUUUUUCCACCACAGAGACUAUAAUCAUAUUUACCUUGCCUUUCUGUGGGCCAAAUGAACUUAAGCACUUUUUGUGUGAUUUAUCACCUUUGCUUGAAUUAGCCUGUGGCCGAAACUACAUAGGAGAAAUUGUCAUUUUCAUUAUUUGUGUUUUGGUUGUAAUUUGUGCAUUCCUGUUCAUCCUUCUCUCAUACAUUUUAAUUGCAAACACUGUCUUGAAAAUCCCCACAACGGCUGGGAAGCGUAAAGCCUUUUCCACUUGUGCCUCCCAUCUUAUCGUGGUCGUAGUGCACUUUGGGUGUGCUGGCAUUAUCUAUUUAGGGCCCAAAUCCAGUUACACGCUAGAUCAGACUACUUUUAUUACUGUCUCUUACACAAUGGUGACUCCAUUGUUGAACCCUUUAGUGUACAGCCUGAGAAACAAAGAUGUCCAGAUAGCGCUUAAAAAAUCGCUUGGCAAAAGCUCCUGCACCCAAAGAAUGUGAAAAUUAAGCGUAAUCCAGUUUGAAGAGGAAUUAUGAAAGCCAACAAAUACUGUAUCUGUUGUUUAAUGUACAAAGGACGCCUCAAAUAGUAUUGUAGCUUUUUCUCAUCUUCUAAAAAAUUCAUUUGUAUAUGAAAUAUUCACUUGGAAAAAUGUGGCCUUGCUUUAGCAUUUACAGACAACUUUGAUUUUCUCACUGGAAAAUAAAUUGGGUUGUGGGAAUUUUCUCAUAAAUGAACCUGUAAUCAUUCAGCCCUGCAACAAAGGAAACUUUUCUAAAGAUUACUGUUGUUUUCUCCCAAAUCCUAGCCCACAUUUUCUCUGCCAAUCAUUUACGCAGAACUAUUUCAAGCUCAUAUAGUGCUGAGACUGAAGUGUCAAAAUUGUUCUUGUUGAAUAGCUGCCACCCGUAUAUUUUGGUUGGGUUCAGUUUGGGGUACAUUUCUGUUUAUCUUUGUGGAGGUAGCUUUUUCUGCCCCUCCUUGUCCCCAGUAAUGGCUAUUUUUAAGAAGGGAAUCUUUUUUCAAAGUUGGAAUUCUUGUAACCAAACACACUUAAUUUCUGCUCUUUUGCUUUCAUGUAGUAUGUUCUGACAUUUGCUUUUUAUAAAGUGUUGGCAAGAAUGUAAUAAUAUAUUGUACACAAAAUGGAGUAUUGCUAUUUUUCAAUAUGCAUUUAUUUUAGCAUUCAUAUAUAUUAAACCUGACACUUUAAUUACUUUCAAACCAUGCCCAAAGAAAGGCUAUAUCAUAUUAUAUUCCCAUUACAUAAUCAGAUAUGCAAUUGGAUCAUUAAUUUGCAGUGCUAUCAUGUCUGAGUGGACCCCUCACCCCCCGAUUUUCCUGCAUUGGACCACAUAAUGUUUCUGUCCUUCAGUUGGCAUUCUAGAAUAAUGUAGCUGCCAGGCUGAUUUUCCUUCUACCAUAAAACACACAAUAUAUCAAGAAAGGUCCAGCAUAAUUCAGUAGUGUGGAAGGGGUUGGGUGCAAUUCUACUGUAUGGUGUGGUUGGGAUAGAAUGGUCUGAAUGGUGUCUAUUCUUCAGCACCUUUUCCGCACAGUCUCAGCAGAGCAAGCAAGCUGUUACCUGGGGAGAAUGGGAGUAUUGAAAGAAGUUACUGAAUUAGCUAUAGUGCCUGUGUGUGUCUAUGUGUCAAGGAGGAAUUCUCCCGUAUGCGAAGACAGGCUCUGGUGCAUUGAGCUGAUGAGAUCAAUAGUGGGUUCAGCAGCCAAGAAGGCAGUUUCUGCCACAGAAGUCCCUUUAUAGCUGGAAGUGUGAGGGCCUGUUCCUUGCUCCCUAGGUCAGCUGGAAAGGCCUUUAAGGGAGCAGGCCCUGCAGUCCUCACCACAGCCAAUGGUGGCCCUUGGGCCCUGUCAGGAGUCCCAGUUUCCGACAUGAUAACGCAGCCAGUGUGGUUAAUUAAAAAGGAAGAUUUAUUGCAAUAACAGUGUUCUCCAGAUGGCUCUACAGUGCCCCCAUUCUCCACUAAUCAUGAUGACCCUUCUGACUCCUUCCUGUGAUGACGGAAGAUAUUGAACUUACUAACCCUAAUUCUCUUGUUUUUCUUCCUAACAACAGCCCCUUCACCUAUUAUCCACACUUAUUGGCUUAGCUCAGUCUCUUCCUUUUCUGAUGAACUACCCAUGUUUCUGUUCGCUCCUGUUUGAAACUCCUGACAGCUUUGGCUAGGUUCCUGCUCGCGUGCAACAUUAUCAGUUGUCAUUCCAAUGGGCGGAGGAGUUGACCCUGGUCAAGGCUCCUCUUGUCUGCCAUUUAACCCUCUCUCUUCGUAACUGCUUCCUUCACUGGGAGCUGGCUCAUUCAUGACAUGUCCCUUCCAACUCUAAGAUUCUAUGAUUCCAACAACAACAAUGGAAAAAAGAACCAUUCAUGCAAUGCUGCUAAAAACGUAGAUGCCCAAGCCAGGUGUUUACUAUAUAAUAUCAACUAUAUAAUACCAUAUAAUAUCAACUAAACAUAUGGAGAAGUGACAUAAGAGAUGUGUUCUCUUAUUUCCUCAAACUUUUUUAAUGCCCUCUCUGGCAUGUUAGAUGUUUAGAGAUUGCAAUGUGCCAUAACCUUCCAAACCAACAAUACCGGGAUGGGGAUUUGGAUUUCCAGUGACUAGCAAUGGAGAUUUUAGCUGCUGCUUAGAACAUAAAUACAAGAGGAUAGCGGUCAAUGGUUGGGUUGUAUUGCUUUCUAGAGAAAGUAAUGCCAAAUCUGGAUCCAUGUCAAGGGUUGACCCACAAUAAUAGGAAUUAAAUUGAACACCUGGGUCCGGAAGUCAUUGAGAAUGCAGAUACUGCCAUGAAAUUAUUUAGUACCCUCUGCAAAGGAAAAGGGGCUUAGCUUGGAUUGUGGAGCAUCAGUAAUAUAUAGUGUGUGAAAAUAGUCAGUUUACACUCAUUUCCUUGAACCCUGAUGUCUUCAGUACCCUUCAGUACCCGUGAGAUGUUAGGUUUCAUGAGAUGGAACUUGCCCUGCCUUUUUGACAAUUGGUGUGGCUUACCUCAGAGCCAUUUGUCAUGUACGCUAUUUUUAUUUAUUAAACAAUAUUCACAAACCACUUAAUCAAAAAGACCGAAACAAUCUGUAAUAUGCAUCCUGAUAAAAGAAAAAAAUGGAAAACAAGUAGACAUAAUGGAAUGUAUCGAUAUAGAGAUGAAGUCAACAGUUUUAGGAAAAAAUGCACCCAAUAAAAUUACAUGUAUUGUUAAUUAUUUCUUGUAGAUUUUAACAACUCCCAUUGAUAAUAAAAUGGUUGGUUUAUUUUAUGUUUUGAAAUACCGUGGAGAUAAUAUCUGGUGGGAUUUAUAACCAUGUUUACAUUGUUCCAUGCUCAGUAGAAACAUCAUAAAAAGGAUAUUGUGGCAAAUUGGUGUCAUUUGGAAGAGCUCAACAUCCAUCGUGCUUCCUUGUAAGUCUAUUGUGGUUUGAGGUUCUGCAGCUUUGGUUUGAAUUCAUUCAUUCAGCCCUUCAGAUGCUCUUGUUUUUGCCACUUUAAAGGGAAAUAAGAAAAAUUUCAAAGCCCCUGACUCUUUUUUAUCUUGGGAACAAGAUUCAUACUCAAUGGGAGAUUUACUACUUUUCAUGCAGAAGGCCCCAGAUCCAAUAUUUUUCCAAAAGGGUAUGAGGUAGCUUAGCAGGACUGGUGAAGACAUCAACCUGAGUCCCUGGAGAGGUGCUACAAUUUGGAAUAGACACCAAAUGUAUGACUCUUUAAAAGGCAGCUUAAGACAGGCAUGCUCCUCAAUAAAAUAUUCUAGUGGUGUUCAGAGUUAUGCCUUGUGAAGCUGUUAAUUUUUCAAUUGACAGGAAGAUUGUGAAGCCUCAAACUCUUCAGCUCACUUGCCUCUGUGCUCCUUCCUCAGUUUGUGGGCUGUAGCCAGACAUUCAUUCACAGUGGAAUUACAUCAAUUAAAAGAAUACAGAAUUUUAAUCUAUGGUGAUGAACUAUGCCAAGAUGUUGUUUGAUUGCUAAAAUUUUAGUUCGAUGGAAAAUGCAGUUUUGUAAACAGGCUCUAAUGCCUCACUAACUUGGGGGCAGACAUUCCCAGGAUUCCUUGAAAGGGAGAUAUCAGACAUUCAACUCUGCAGUGUAGACUUAUUGGUCAAGUCAAUGUAAUAAUACGUCUAUAGGGUGGCACAAUUAUGUUCUUGGUUGCACAACUGUUGUGCUAGGUUAUGUCUACUGAGGCUGGUUCUACCAUUGGGCAAAUGGAGGCGACCUUUUCUCAGGCAGCUGUAUGGAGUGAUGUUUGUUGUUGUUGUUGUUUAGUCGUUUAGUCGUGUCCGACUCUUCGUGACCCCACGGACCAGAGCACGCCAGGCACUCCUGUCUUCCACUGCCUCCCGCAGUUUGGUCAAACCCAUGCUGGUAGCUUCGAGAACACUAUCCAACCAUCUCGUCCUCUCUCGUCCCCUUCUCCUUGUGCCCUCAAUCUUCCCCAACAUCAGGGUCUUUUCCAGGGAGUCUUCUCUUCUCAUGAGGUUGCCAAAGUACUGGAGCCUCAGCUUCACGAUCUGUCCUUCCAGUGAGCACUCAGGGCUGAUUUCCUUCAGAAUGGAUAGGUUUGAUCUUCUUGCAGUCCAUGGGACUCUCAAGAGUCUCCUCCAGCGCCAUAAUUCAAAAGCAUCAAUUCUUCGGCAAUCAGCCUUCUUUAUGGUCCAGCUCUCACUUCCAUACAUCGCUACUGGGAAAGCCAUAGCUUUUACUAUACGGACCUUUGUUGGCAAGGUGAUGUCUCUGCUUUUUAAGAUGCUGUCUAGGUUUGUCAUUGUUUUUCUCCCAAGAAGCAGGUGUCUUUUAAUUUCGUGGCUGCUGUCACCAUCUGCAGUGAUCGUGGAGCCCAAGAAAGUAAAAUCUCUCACUGCCUCCAUUUCUUCCCCUUCUAUUUGCCAGGAGGUGAUGGGACCAGUGGCCAUGAUCUUCGUUUUUUUGAUGUUGAGCUUCAGACCAUAUUUUGCACUUUCCUCUUUCACCCUCAUUAAAAGGUUCUUUAAUGUCUCCUCACUUUCUGCCACCAAGGUUGUGUCAUCUGCAUAUCUGAGGUUGUUGAUAUUUCUUCCGGCAAUCUUAAUUCUGCCUAGGGAUUCAUCCAGCCCAGCCUUUCGCAUUAUGAAUUCUGCAUAUAAGUUAAAUAAGCAGGAGACAAUAUGCAGCCUUGUCGUCCUCCUUUCCCAAUUUUGAACCAACCAGUUGCUCCAUAUCCAGUUCUAACUGUAGCUUCUUGUCCCACACAGAGAUUUCUCAGGAGACAGAUGAGGUGAUCAGCCACUCCCAUUUCUUAAAGAACUUGCCAUAGUUUGCUGUGGUCGACACAGUCAAAGGCUUUUGCAUAGUCAAUGAAGCGGAAGUAGAUGUCUUUCUGGAACUCUCUAGCUUUCUACAUAAUCCAGUGCAUGUUUGCAAUUUGGUCUCUGGUUCCUCUGCCUCUUCUAAAUCCAGCUUGCACUUCUGGGAGUUCUCGGUCCACAUACUGCUUGAGCCUUCCUUGUAGAAUUUUAAGCAUAACCUUGCUAGCGUGUGAAAUGAGUGCAAUUGUGCGGUAGUUGGAGCAUUCUUUGGCACUGACCUUCUUUGGGAUUGGGAUGUAGACUGAUCUUCUCCAAUCCUCUGGCCACUGCUGAGUUUUCCAAAUUUGCUGGCAUAUUGAGUGUAGCACCUUAACGGCAUCAUCUUUUAAAAUUUUAAAUAGUUCAGCUGAAAUACUAUCACUUCCACUGGCCUUGUUAUUAGCAGUGCUUUCUAAGGCCCAUUUGACUUCAUUCUCCUGGAUGUCUGACUCAAGGUCAGCAACCACACUACCUGGGGUGUACGAGCCAUCCAUAUCUUUCUGGCAUAAUUCUUCCGUGUAUUCUUGCCACCUCUUCUUGAUGUCUUCUGCUUCUGUUAGGUCCUUACCACUUUUGUCCUUUAUUGUGGUAAUCUUUGUACGAAAUGUUCCUUUCAUAUCUCCAAUUUUCUUGAACAGAUCUCUGGUUCUUCCCAUUCUGCUGUUUUCCUCUAUUUCUUUGCAUUGCUUGUUUAAGAAGGCCUUCUUGUCUCUCCUUGCUAUUUUUGGAAAUCUGCAUUCAAUUUCCUGUAUCUUUCACUGUCUCCCUCGCAUUUUGCUUGCCUUCUCUCCCCGCUAUUUGUAAGGCCUCGUUAGACAGCCACUUUGCUUUCUUGCAUUUCCUUUUCAUUGGGAUGGUUUUAGCUGCUGCCUCCUGUAUAAUGUUAUGAGCCUCCAUCCAUAGUUCUUCAGGCACUCUGCCCACCAAAUCUAAAUCCUUAAACCUGUUUAAGUGAUGUUUAAGGCACAUCAAAGGGUUUUUAUUGCUAUUGCAUUUUUACGGUCACAUUAUGCAUUUUGUGUUUUUAUGUUGUAAAGUGGCCUGUGAUAGUCAGCUGAAGGGCGGUACAUAAAUUUAAUAAAGAACAAAAAAUAAAUAAUUAUUUUAUGAAGAAGCCUCUCCCCAAGUAUUUUUGUAUAAAACAUCAGCUGAUGAGCACUGUUGAAAUCUGUAAUGCCUUUAAAGUUUAUUUUCAGAUGCAGCAUCAAUGGGAAGAGAAAAUCAAACAGUGGUGACAGAAUUUAUCCUUGCUGGAUUUUCUAAUUUCCCAGACCUGAAGAUUCCGUUGUUUCUGGUGUUCUCUCUAAUCUACCUGGUAACUUUGAUAGCAAAUAUAAUCAUCAUCACUACAAUACGGCUUAACCGCAGCCUCCACAUCCCCAUGUACUUCUUCCUCUCCAUCCUCUCCUUUUCAGAAAUCUGCUACUCACUUGUCAUUAUCCCCAAUAUGCUUGCAAAUCUUCUAAGAGAAAAGAAGACCAUUUCCUUCAUUGGCUGUGCUACUCAGAUGUGCAUUUUCCUGGGCUUGGCAGGCACAAAUUGUAUGCUUCUAGCAGUGAUGGGGUAUGACCGAUAUGUCUCCAUAUGCAAACCUUUACGUUAUCAGAUUUUGAUGAAUCAAAGAC
RNAcentral lists this long non-coding RNA (7489 nucleotides) under Podarcis lilfordi (Lilford's wall lizard). Lineage: Eukaryota; Metazoa; Chordata; Lepidosauria; Squamata; Lacertidae. The record is from RNAcentral.